GAAGCAUGACUGCUCAGGUCCCCAGAUGACUUGGGCACUUGCUUUGCUGAUUCAAGCACCAGCUCCUGCGGUCUCCCACCAGCCCUUUCUGCAGACAGAUUGACGAUGAUGGACAUAAACAUCGGCAAGAAGCGCUAGGCAGAAGGAUGGGUCUCCUUCUUGGGAACAACUCUGUUGAUGGCUGCAGUAAGCCCGAGCCAUUCAGCUAAGUCUGACACAUCAAGGACCGCUGGCGCAGUCAUGUUAUGGGGAGUGAG
This 257-nucleotide long non-coding RNA is filed under the name Bos grunniens (domestic yak). RNAcentral's name for it is "lncRNA (ENSBGRG00000004589.1)". Lineage: Eukaryota; Metazoa; Chordata; Mammalia; Artiodactyla; Bovidae. The record is from RNAcentral.